GGCGGGAUGCCAGAGUGGACGAAUGGGACUGUUUCGAAAACAGUUGUACUUUAAAAAGUACCGGGGGUUCAAAUCCUCCUCCCGCCG
This 87-nucleotide transfer RNA is filed under the name Candidatus Spechtbacteria bacterium RIFCSPHIGHO2_01_FULL_38_11. Its description in RNAcentral is "tRNA-Ser". It matches the Rfam family "tRNA". From Rfam's summary of the family: Transfer RNA (tRNA) molecules are approximately 80 nucleotides in length. RNAcentral also lists the same sequence under 3 other names. The record is from RNAcentral. Lineage: Bacteria; Candidatus Spechtiibacteriota.